Molecule: ribosomal RNA, 429 nt
Filed under: bacterium
Lineage: Bacteria
Description: partial 16S ribosomal RNA
Rfam family: Bacterial small subunit ribosomal RNA
Source: RNAcentral
UAGGGAAUCUUCCACAAUGGACGCAAGUCUGAUGGAGCAACGCCGUGUGAGUGAAGAAGGUUUUCGGAUCGUAAAGCUCUGUUGUUGGUGAAGAAGGAUAGAGGUAGUAACUGGCCUUUAUUUGACGGUAAUCAACCAGAAAGUCACGGCUAACUACGUGCCAGCAGCCGCGGUAAUACGUAGGUGGCAAGCGUUGUCCGGAUUUAUUGGGCGUAAAGCGAGCGCAGGCGGAAGAAUAAGUCUGAUGUGAAAGCCCUCGGCUUAACCGAGGAACUGCAUCGGAAACUGUUUUUCUUGAGUGCAGAAGAGGAGAGUGGAAUUCCAUGUGUAGCGGUGGAAUGCGUAGAUAUAUGGAAGAACACCAGUGGCGAAGGCGACUCUCUGGUCUGCAACUGACGCUGAGGCUCGAAAGCAUGGGUAGCGAACAGG